UGCUACUGACCUGACGUAAAUGUCUAAUUCUCUCAGUCUCUUCCAUCAUUUGAUUCUCACAAGACUCUUUGUUCUUGGACAAUUGAAUGUGUCUUGUGGGGGGGGGAGGUGGGGGACUAUUAUUCAAGAGGACAUUGUGUAUGAAGACAGGAACUACUAAGCGCUGUGUGAGGAAGAGCAUGUGGAAGGUACUGAAAGUGGUAAAAGAUUUGCCAACAGUCCUGGAAUAAAGAAAAGUUAAGAGUUUAUUGAUACACUGCAAGAGAGCACAGAGUGAGUUCCAAGGGCAGACUGCACCAUCAAGGAGAAAGGAACACCUUUAUUUUGUCAAGAAUUACACAUCAAAGGAGCAAAAUUAACAAUGGUCCACUAUUUGUGUCCUCACAGAAAGCCUUAAGACUUGAAAUAGGGACACGUGUAUCAACUCUAAGGAAAGGGUCACAGGCCAUUGGUUCACCCCUUAUGGAAUAUUACUUCUAAAUUACAGAGUUGGGGGAUUUGCCCAGUUUCUAGCAGUGCUCUGGGUCUAUAGAAACUCCAAUGAAAACUUCAUGUUCAGGCUGACCUUGAAUUCACUACAUAUCCCAGG
This is a long non-coding RNA of Fukomys damarensis (Damara mole-rat), 589 nucleotides long. RefSeq lists it as uncharacterized. NCBI's taxonomy places the organism in Eukaryota, Metazoa, Chordata, Mammalia, Rodentia, Bathyergidae. The record is from RefSeq and is a predicted model, not a curated record. The transcript is spliced from 4 exons.